Molecule: long non-coding RNA, 1147 nt
Organism: Thunnus maccoyii (southern bluefin tuna)
Lineage: Eukaryota; Metazoa; Chordata; Actinopteri; Scombriformes; Scombridae
Exons: 3
Source: RefSeq, a predicted model, not a curated record
GUGAAAAUGUAAUUUUCCAAACCUCCCAAUCUCAGAUCUGCUAUCAGCCAGUGAUAAGCUGGAAAGCCGUUUUCUAGGAUCCCCAUUCAGGAAUAGAAGUUCUGGCUCCUGAUUAAUCGUUUUCUGCUCUCCCUUCGAUGGCCUGUGAUAAAAAAGCAAACAAAAUUCAAAUCUCCGCCGUGGAAAAACCCUGGAGUGUGUGAAUUAAAUAUGAACAAAAGCUGCCAUAUAGAUAGACGGGUGGGCUGCAGAUGAGGCAGACAAGUUAGAAAUGUAUUUUAAGAUGUGGACAGACAGGGAAAUAAACAGAUCGACUGGCAGCGGCAGAGACAGGAAGACAUUAACGCGGCGAAAGGAAAACCGGCAGAGCGACACCCAGACGACGGGGCACUGGGAGGGAGGCAGACAGUUUGACAGACCCGAAGAGACGGACAUGCAGGCAGGCAGACAGACAGACAGCUGCGAAGGUCGACAGGCUCGCAUACAGUGAGACAGCGUUACCCUGGCAACGGACAGCUGAUCAGUCAUUCACAGACCGCAGAGCUCAGUUCAGUCAAUCUUUAUUGUCCCCAGGGGAUAAUUAGGGAGGGCAAACAGGCAUACACAUGGGCAGACAGACAGGACGACGGGGACAGACAGACAGAUGGACAUGUAGAGGUACCCUGACUCAAUGCACUGCUGGACACUCAACGCACACUCCUCCCGCUGUAGCCAUGCUGCACGCCACGCUGGUGUUGUCAUAACAACUGAGAUUUAAAUCCCACUUGGUUUUGAGAGGCAACUGCGAUGGCUGGAAGCAGAUCACAUCCCGAAGGUUGCCCUGAGACGGACUGCUCCUGGCAAAAGAAAACCUAGAAGACCAAAUAUAACCUAAUGCAGAACUGUAAAGGAUGAACCAGCAAUAGAGAACAAUGAAAAGAACUCACUGUGACCUUAUGUGUCACAGGGAACAAAGAGAAUUAAGGAAGUGAGUCAGCAGCGCAACUGGGAACAUCUGGCUGCAGCUACCAGCUCUCUCUCUCUCUGCUCCUCCCUACAGGCAUCCAUUUUGGUUUGGGUCAUGUUGCCUUAGUUUCUUUUUCAGCACUUUUACAACAUCCACAUACAUCUUUCACCCAUGCACACCACUGACUCUACUGAUAUCCAC